UGAGUUGUCUGGUUCAAUGGUUAAGCUUUUGUAUAGUUUUUAGUCUUGUGUUCGAAUCCUAGUAGAAGUAAUAGGGAAUAUUUUAUUUUUGAAUUUCGUUGUACAGUAGUUAGUUUCGGUUGGUUACUUAAAACCUUCCAGAAACCUCCAGUGUGGUUUUUUUUCAUUUUGUUCUUUCUUUUUCUGCCAUGUUUUUUUGUCAUUCCUUUCUUGUUCUUUAGUUUUUCAUUUUGGUUUUUUUAUUUUCAAGUGACCUUUCUUUUUUGUUAUGUUACGUUACACUGAUUCUGUACGGGUCUGACUCCCCCUUCUAGUUUAAUUCGUUGGCCGAUAAGUUCAAUUUAAAGUUUUGGUGUCGAAGUUCUUCGACGUAACUUCAAUUUUGGAAUGUUAGUUUUUAGCGAUUUGACUGCGAGUUAAUCGUUUGUUGGAAAAUUGUU
Molecule: long non-coding RNA, 440 nt
Filed under: Gossypium raimondii (Peruvian cotton)
Lineage: Eukaryota; Viridiplantae; Streptophyta; Magnoliopsida; Malvales; Malvaceae
Description: long non-coding RNA (GRAI_LNC001193)
Source: RNAcentral